UACGAAGGGGGCUAGCGUUGUUCGGAAUGACUGGGCGUAAAGGGCGCGUAGGCGGCUUUUUAAGUCAGGCGUGAAAGCCCUGGGCUCAACUUAGGAACGGCGCUUGAUACUGGGAGACUAGAGGACGGGAGAGGAUGGGGGAAUUCCCAGUGUAGAGGUGAAAUUCGUAGAUAUUGGGAAGAACACCGGUGGCGAAGGCGGCCAUCUGGACCGUUACUGACGCUGAGGCGCGAAAGCGUGGGGAGCAAACAGG
RNAcentral lists this ribosomal RNA (253 nucleotides) under uncultured bacterium. Its description in RNAcentral is "partial 16S ribosomal RNA". It matches the Rfam family "Bacterial small subunit ribosomal RNA", at positions 524 to 776 of the family's 1533-position model. The record is from RNAcentral.